Molecule: ribosomal RNA, 287 nt
Filed under: uncultured bacterium
Lineage: Bacteria
Description: partial 16S ribosomal RNA
Rfam family: Bacterial small subunit ribosomal RNA
Source: RNAcentral
GUGGAUUAGAUACCCGAGUAGUCCAUGCCGUAAACGUUGGGCACUAGAUGUGGGGGACAUUCCACGUUUUCCGCGUCGUAGCUAACGCAUUAAGUGCCCCGCCUGGGGAGUACGGCCGCAAGGCUAAAACUCAAAGGAAUUGACGGGGGCCCGCACAAGCGGCGGAGCAUGCUGAUUAAUUCGAUGCAACGCGAAGAACCUUACCAAGGCUUGACAUGCACCGGACGACUCCAGAGAUGGGGUUUUCUUCGGACUGGUGCACAGGUGGUGCACGGUCGUCGUCAGCU